Molecule: ribosomal RNA, 253 nt
Filed under: uncultured bacterium
Lineage: Bacteria
Description: partial 16S ribosomal RNA
Rfam family: Bacterial small subunit ribosomal RNA
Source: RNAcentral
UACGGAGGGUGCAAGCGUUGUCCGGAAUUACUGGGCGUAAAGGGCUCGUAGGCGGCCAACUAAGUCGGAUGUGAAAUCCCCAGGCUUAACCUGGGAACUGCAUCCGAUACUGGAUGGCUUGAAUCCGGGAGAGGGAUGCAGAAUUCCAGGUGUAGCGGUGAAAUGCGUAGAUAUCUGGAGGAAUACCGGUGGCGAAGGCGGCAUCCUGGACCGGCAUUGACGCUGAUGAGCGAAAGCUAGGGGAGCAAACGGG